CGAAAUGCGAUAAGUAAUGUGAAUUGCAGAAUUCAGUGAAUCAUCGAAUCUUUGAACGCACAUUGCGCCCGCCAGUAUUCUGGCGGGCAUGCCUGUUCGAGCGUCAUUUCAACCAUCAAGCCCCCGGCUUGUGUUGGGGACCUGCGGCUGCCCGCAGGCCCUGAAAAACAGUGGCGGGCUCGCUGUCACACCGAGCGUAGUAGCAUACAUUCUCGCUCAGGGCGUGCUGCGGGUCCCGGCCGUUAAACGACCUUCAUAACCCAAGGUUGACCUCGGAUCAGGUAGGAAGACCCGCUGAACUUAAGC
This 306-nucleotide unclassified non-coding RNA is filed under the name plant metagenome. Its description in RNAcentral is "partial contains 5.8S ribosomal RNA, internal transcribed spacer 2, and large subunit ribosomal RNA". The stretch from base 1 to 106 matches the Rfam family "5.8S ribosomal RNA", at positions 49 to 154 of the family's 154-position model. The record is from RNAcentral.